GUCCACACUGUAAACGAUGAUUACUAGGUGUUGGAGGAUUGACCCCUUCAGUGCCGCAGUUAACACAAUAAGUAAUCCACCUGGGGAGUACGACCGCAAGGUUGAAACUCAAAGGAAUUGACGGGGGCCCGCACAAGCAGUGGAGUAUGUGGUUUAAUUCGACGCAACGCGAAGAACCUUACCAAGUCUUGACAUCCUGCGACGGUGCUGGAAACGAACUUUCCUCGGGACCAGAGACAGGUGGUGCAUGGUUGUCGU
This 258-nucleotide ribosomal RNA is filed under the name uncultured bacterium. RNAcentral describes it as "partial 16S ribosomal RNA". It matches the Rfam family "Bacterial small subunit ribosomal RNA", at positions 793 to 1055 of the family's 1533-position model. The record is from RNAcentral.